This 298-nucleotide signal recognition particle RNA is filed under the name Cebus imitator (Panamanian white-faced capuchin). RNAcentral's name for it is "Metazoan signal recognition particle RNA (ENSCCAG00000007925.1)". It matches the Rfam family "Metazoan signal recognition particle RNA". Rfam says of the family: The signal recognition particle (SRP) is a universally conserved ribonucleoprotein. It is involved in the co-translational targeting of proteins to membranes. The record is from RNAcentral. Lineage: Eukaryota; Metazoa; Chordata; Mammalia; Primates; Cebidae.
GCCAGGCGCUGUGGUGCGUGCCUGUAGUCCCAGCUACUUGGGAGGCUGAGGCUGGAGGAUCGCUUGAGUCCAGAAAUUCUGGGCUGUAGUGCACUAUGCUGAUCGGGGUCUGCACUAAGUUCGGCAUCAAUAUGGUGACCUACCAGGAGCAGGGGACCACCAGGUUGCCUAAGGAGGGGUGAACCAGCCCAGGUCAGAAACAGAGCAGGUCAAAACUCCCAUGCUGAUCAGUAGUGGGGUCGCGCCUGUGAAUAGCCACUGCACGCCACCCUGGGCAACAUAGCGAGACCCCAUCUCU